Molecule: long non-coding RNA, 210 nt
Filed under: Elaeis guineensis (African oil palm)
Lineage: Eukaryota; Viridiplantae; Streptophyta; Magnoliopsida; Arecales; Arecaceae
Description: long non-coding RNA (EGUI_LNC057085)
Source: RNAcentral
GCUUAUCCUUUGAAAAAUCUGAAUUACAAUUAUAAAUUGUCUUGUAGUCAAGCUAAUGACUAUAAACAAUCGCUCCUUGGGAGGCAACCCAAGCUAAAUCUUUCUCUUGUCCUUUGUCUUUAAUAACUUUUUAUUAUUAUUAUUUUUAGUUAAAUAAUUAUGACCAUAACCUCUUUUUGUUCAGUUAUGCAGAUUUGAGAAGUAAGCAUG